GGGGGUAUAGCUCAGGGGUAGAGCGCUCGCUUAGCAUCGAGAGGGCUGGGGUUCGAUUCCCCAUACCUCCA
This is a non-coding RNA of Steinernema glaseri, 71 nucleotides long. The record is from Rfam. NCBI's taxonomy places the organism in Eukaryota, Metazoa, Nematoda, Chromadorea, Rhabditida, Steinernematidae.